RNAcentral lists this unclassified non-coding RNA (250 nucleotides) under plant metagenome. RNAcentral's name for it is "partial contains small subunit ribosomal RNA, internal transcribed spacer 1, and 5.8S ribosomal RNA". The record is from RNAcentral.
UUUCCGUAGGUGAACCUGCGGAAGGAUCAUCAACAAAACAAUAAAAUUCAAAACAAAAACACCAAUUUCAUUCCAAAAUUAUAUUGGAAUGUUUUUUUAAUGGGGAUGUGGAGAUUUCUAAUUUUUUUAAUUAGAUUUUUCUCAUGCCCCAUCAUUUAAAACUCCUAAAAAAACAAAUUAGAAAAUUAUUCCAAAAAAUUUUAAAAUAUAAAAAUAGAGACAACUUUUAACAAUGGAUCUCUUGGCUCUC